RNAcentral lists this ribosomal RNA (497 nucleotides) under uncultured bacterium. RNAcentral's name for it is "partial 16S ribosomal RNA". It matches the Rfam family "Bacterial small subunit ribosomal RNA", at positions 28 to 507 of the family's 1533-position model. The record is from RNAcentral.
GAUGAACGCUGGCGGCGUGCCUAAUACAUGCAGGUCGAGCGAACAGACGAGGAGCUUGCUCCUCUGACGUUAGCGGCGGACGGGUGAGUAACACGUGGAUAACCUACCUAUAAGACUGGGAUAACUUCGGGAAACCGGAGCUAAUACCGGAUAAUAUAUUGAACCGCAUGGUUCAAUAGUGAAAGACGGUUUUGCUGUCACUUAUAGAUGGAUCCGCGCCGCAUUAGCUAGUUGGUAAGGUAACGGCUUACCAAGGCAACGAUGCGUAGCCGACCUGAGAGGGUGAUCGGCCGCACUGGAACUGAGACACGGUCCAGACUCCUACGGGAGGCAGCAGUAGGGAAUCUUCCGCAAUGGGCGAAAGCCUGACGGAGCAACGCCGCGUGAGUGAUGAAGGUCUUCGGAUCGUAAAACUCUGUUAUUAGGGAAGAACAAAUGUGUAAGUAACUAUGCACGUCUUGACGGUACCUAAUCAGAAAGCCACGGCUAACUACGUG